GGAGUCUGGGCCGUAUCUCAGUCCCAAUGUGGCCGUUCAACCUCUCAGUCCGGCUACUGAUCGCAGCCUUGGUAGGCCGUUACCCUACCAACUAGCUAAUCAGACGUGAGCCCAUCCCUCAGCGGAUUUCUCCUUUGGUGUUCAGAUGAUGCCAUCCGAACACAUCAUGCGGUAUUAGCAGUCGUUUCCAACUGUUGUCCCCCUCUGAAGGGCAGGUUGCUCACGCAUUACUCACCCGUUCGCCACUCAGUCAAAGAAGAACUUUGACGGAUCUCCAUUCUUCAGUGCUUCGUUCGACUUGCAUGUGUUAGGCAUGCCGCCAGCGUUCAUC
This 331-nucleotide ribosomal RNA is filed under the name uncultured Oscillospiraceae bacterium. RNAcentral describes it as "partial 16S ribosomal RNA". Lineage: Bacteria; Bacillati; Bacillota; Clostridia; Eubacteriales; Oscillospiraceae. The record is from RNAcentral.